Molecule: ribosomal RNA, 248 nt
Filed under: uncultured Gardnerella sp.
Lineage: Bacteria; Bacillati; Actinomycetota; Actinomycetes; Bifidobacteriales; Bifidobacteriaceae
Description: partial 16S ribosomal RNA
Rfam family: Bacterial small subunit ribosomal RNA
Source: RNAcentral
GAGUAAUGCGUGACCAACCUGCCCCAUGCUCCAGAAUAGCUCUUGGAAACGGGUGGUAAUGCUGGAUGCUCCAACUUGACGCAUGUCUUGUUGGGAAAGUGUUUAGUGGCAUGGGAUGGGGUCGCGUCCUAUCAGCUUGUAGGCGGGGUAAUGGCCCACCUAGGCUUCGACGGGUAGCCGGCCUGAGAGGGCGGACGGCCACAUUGGGACUGAGAUACGGCCCAGACUCCUACGGGAGGCAGCAGGUC